This 1645-nucleotide small RNA is filed under the name Pongo abelii (Sumatran orangutan). RNAcentral describes it as "retained intron". Lineage: Eukaryota; Metazoa; Chordata; Mammalia; Primates; Hominidae. The record is from RNAcentral.
AUUUGGGGUGUGUGGGGGGCUAUUUUUGAUGAGGUGGUAGGGGAGGGCUUCUUUGAGGAGGUGAUAAGCAAAGACCAGAAAGAAGUGAGGGAGACAGCCAUAUGGACAUUUGGGAAAUUUGGCCUAGUCAGCCAAAAUAGCAGAUGCCGAAGCGCAGAGGCAGGGAGUAAGCUCAGCCAGCCUCUGCCUUGAGCUCAGCCUCAUGCGUAAGCUCCCCUCGCCAUACCUUUGGAAACUAUUGCUGUUUAGUUCUGGGGGGUCAUGGGCUUGGUCCCCAGAGGCCUGGGCCCACCCUGUCAACCCAGGCCUCAGUGUGCCGACCAACAUCAGAAAUGGCCCACUGGAGGCAGCCUGGUCCUGUGGGGCACAACCGUCCAACUCAGGGUGGGCAGUGCGGGAAGACAGCCUGGGGCAGAGGCUCAGCCCAGGCCAGGGGCCGGGAACAGGGCCCUGCUGAGUUCCGGUUUCCCUGCAGAGCUACACACGGAGCGCAGCCUUCAUCGUGACCCUGCACCCGCUGCAGAGCACCACGCCCGACUUCUGGCGGCUGGUCUACGAUUACGGGUGCACCUCCAUCGUCAUGCUCAACCAGCUGAACCAGUCCAACUCCGCCUGGCCCUGCCUGCAGUACUGGCCAGAGCCAGGCCGGCAGCAAUAUGGCCUCAUGGAGGUGGAGUUUAUGUCAGGCACAGCAGAUGAAGACUUAGUGGCUCGAGUCUUCCGGGUGCAGAACAUCUCUCGGUUGCAGGAGGGGCACCUGCUGGUGCGGCACUUCCAGUUCCUGCGCUGGUCUGCAUACCGGGACACGCCUGACUCCAAGAAGGCCUUCCUGCACUUGCUGGCUGAGGUGGACAAGUGGCAGGCCGAGAGUGGGGAUGGGCGCACCAUUGUGCACUGCCUAAACGGGGGAGGACGCAGCGGCACCUUCUGCGCCUGCGCCACGGUCCUGGAGAUGAUCCGCUGCCACAACUUGGUGGACGUUUUCUUUGCUGCCAAAACCCUCCGGAACUACAAACCCAACAUGGUGGAGACCAUGGAUCAGUACCACUUUUGCUACGAUGUGGCCCUGGAGUACUUGGAGGGGCUGGAGUCAAGAUAGCAGGGCCCUGGCCUGGGGCACCCACUGCACACUCAGGGCCAGACCCACCAUCCUGGACUGGCGAGGAAGAUCAGUGCCUCCUGCUCUGCCCAAACACACUCCCAUGGGGCAGGCACUGGAGUGGAUGCUGGGCUAUCUCGCUGCCCCUUCCAGUGGGCAGGGCCUUUCGUUUUGUCCCAUGGGCAGGUCGUGGGCCAAGGAGGAGCUUAGCAAGUCUGCAGCCCAGCCCCACCUCCAUAGGGUCCGGCAGGCCUGUGCUGAGAGGCCUGGUGCUGCCUGGCAGAGUGACAAGGGCUCAGGACGGCUGGCUCUGGGGGACUCAGGCCAAGCCCCUUGGCACCAUCCUGGCUUUUGGCAGGGAUGAGUGAGGCCCUGCAGAGAGCAUCCCAGGCCAAGGUUCCCACUCAGCCUGCCCCCUCUGCAUGUGGGUAGAGGGUGUACUGGGGCUUAGCAUCUAGUAUUCCAUCUGGCCCAGCCCCUGAGGGUCCUGGGGAAGCAGGACUCUGUUCUGAAUAGCCAGUGGGGCACACUGUCCUCCCCAGGGGA